Small nucleolar RNA from Scleropages formosus (Asian bonytongue), 143 nucleotides. The record is from Ensembl. NCBI's taxonomy places the organism in Eukaryota, Metazoa, Chordata, Actinopteri, Osteoglossiformes, Osteoglossidae.
CUUCAGUGAGGAUACGAUGACGAGUCUGAAGAGGGCCGAGUAGGUCUGGGGUUUAGUCCCACAGCCACGUUCUGUGUCUUUGGGUCCAGGCUCCAGAGCCUCUCACCUUAGCUUGAUGACAUCGAGGCAUUUGUCUGAGAAGG